CAUGCAAGUCGAGCGGUAGCACAGAGAGCUUGCUCUCGGGUGACGAGCGGCGGACGGGUGAGUAAUGUCUGGGAAACUGCCUGAUGGAGGGGGAUAACUACUGGAAACGGUAGCUAAUACCGCAUAACGUCGCAAGACCAAAGUGGGGGACCUUCGGGCCUCAUGCCAUCAGAUGUGCCCAGAUGGGAUUAGCUAGUAGGUGGGGUAACGGCUCACCUAGGCGACGAUCCCUAGCUGGUCUGAGAGGAUGACCAGCCACACUGGAACUGAGACACGGUCCAGACUCCUACGGGAGGCAGCAGUGGGGAAUAUUGCACAAUGGGCGCAAGCCUGAUGCAGCCAUGCCGCGUGUGUGAAGAAGGCCUUCGGGUUGUAAAGCACUUUCAGCGGGGAGGAAGGCGGUGAGGUUAAUAACCUUGGCGAUUGACGUUACCCGCAGAAGAAGCACCGGCUAACUCCGUGCCAGCAGCCGCGGUAAUACGGAGGGUGCAAGCGUUAAUCGGAAUUACUGGGCGUAAAGCGCACGCAGGCGGUCUGUCAAGUCGGAUGUGAAAUCCCCGGGCUCAACCUGGGAACUGCAUUCGAAACUGGCAGGCUAGAGUCUUGUAGAGGGGGGUAGAAUUCCAGGUGUAGCGGUGAAAUGCGUAGAGAUCUGGAGGAAUACCGGUGGCGAAGGCGGCCCCCUGGACAAAGACUGACGCUCAGGUGCGAAAGCGUGGGGAGCAAACAGGAUUAGAUACCCUGGUAGUCCACGCCGUAAACGAUGUCGAUUUGGAGGUUGUGCCCUUGAGGCGUGGCUUCCGGAGCUAACGCGUUAAAUCGACCGCCNGGGGAGUACGGACGCAAGGUUUAUACUCAAAUGAAUUGACGGGUGCCCGUCCAAGCGGUGUAGCAUGUGUUUUAUUUCGAUGCAACGCUAAUAACCUUACCUGUCCU
RNAcentral lists this ribosomal RNA (936 nucleotides) under Klebsiella sp. Its description in RNAcentral is "bacterial SSU rRNA". It matches the Rfam family "Bacterial small subunit ribosomal RNA", at positions 54 to 981 of the family's 1533-position model. Lineage: Bacteria; Pseudomonadati; Pseudomonadota; Gammaproteobacteria; Enterobacterales; Enterobacteriaceae. The record is from RNAcentral.